Molecule: ribosomal RNA, 253 nt
Filed under: uncultured bacterium
Lineage: Bacteria
Description: partial 16S ribosomal RNA
Rfam family: Bacterial small subunit ribosomal RNA
Source: RNAcentral
UACAGAGGUCCCAAGCGUUGUUCGGAUUCAUUGGGCGUAAAGGGUGCGUAGGCGGCGCGGUAAGUCGGGUGUGAAAUCUCGGGGCUUAACUCCGAAACUGCAUUCGAUACUGCCGUGCUUGAGGACUGGAGAGGAGACUGGAAUUUACGGUGUAGCGGUGAAAUGCGUAGAUAUCGUAAGGAAGACCAGUGGCGAAGGCGGGUCUCGUGGACAGUUCCUGACGCUGAGGCACGAAGGCCAGGGAGCAAACGGG